This 253-nucleotide ribosomal RNA is filed under the name uncultured bacterium. Its description in RNAcentral is "partial 16S ribosomal RNA". It matches the Rfam family "Bacterial small subunit ribosomal RNA", at positions 524 to 776 of the family's 1533-position model. The record is from RNAcentral.
UACGUAGGGUGCGAGCGUUAAUCGGAAUUACUGGGCGUAAAGCGUGCGCAGGCGGUUAUGCAAGACAGAUGUGAAAUCCCCGGGCUCAACCUGGGAAUUGCAUUCGAGACUGCGUAGCUAGGGUGCGGAAGAGGGAAGCGGAAUUUCCGGUGUAGCGGUGAAAUGCGUAGAUAUCGGAAGGAACACCAGUGGCGAAAGCGGCUUCCUGGUCCAGCACCGACGUUCAGGCACGAAAGCGUGGGGAGCAAACAGG